GAACGAACGCUGGCGGCAUGCCUAACACAUGCAAGUCGAACGAUCCCUUCGGGGAUAGUGGCGCACGGGUGCGUAACGCGUGGGAACCUGCCCUUAGGUUCGGAAUAACUCAGAGAAAUUUGAGCUAAUACCGGAUAAUGUCUUCGGACCAAAGAUUUAUCGCCUUUGGAUGGGCCCGCGUUGGAUUAGCUAGUUGGUGGGGUAAAGGCCUACCAAGGCGACGAUCCAUAGCUGGUCUGAGAGGAUGAUCAGCCACACUGGGACUGAGACACGGCCCAGACUCCUACGGGAGGCAGCAGUGGGGAAUAUUGGACAAUGGGCGAAAGCCUGAUCCAGCAAUGCCGCGUGAGUGAUGAAGGCCUUAGGGUUGUAAAGCUCUUUUACCCGGGAUGAUAAUGACAGUACCGGGAGAAUAAGCCCCGGCUAACUCCGUG
Molecule: ribosomal RNA, 434 nt
Filed under: uncultured bacterium
Lineage: Bacteria
Description: partial 16S ribosomal RNA
Rfam family: Bacterial small subunit ribosomal RNA
Source: RNAcentral